Molecule: long non-coding RNA, 1207 nt
Filed under: Apteryx rowi (Okarito brown kiwi)
Lineage: Eukaryota; Metazoa; Chordata; Aves; Apterygiformes; Apterygidae
Description: lncRNA (ENSARWG00000003345.1)
Source: RNAcentral
AGGCCGCGGCACGCAGGAGGUCGCCUCGCUGUGUGUCGUCUUCGCGCCACGCUCCGGCAGCCCCCRAGAAACAGCUGGCUUUGAACUGGUGGAUUUUGGAUGGGAGCUGAAUCAUCUGUUUAAAAUGCAUCCUUUUAAAUGGGAAAUGGCUUCCUCACUGUGUCCAGGCUCUGAGCUCCUGACUUUGUUGCUGUUUCUUCAGGAGACGUUAUAGCUGGUACACAYGUCCACCCACCCACCCACGUCUGUGCACACACAGCCCGGCAGGCAAGAAACCCAGCCCCGAACAUACAGCUGGGAUGAGCCAGGGCGCUGCUACCUGCCCUACUGCAGCCCCCGUGACAUGGUCCAUUACUUACACGGCUCUGCACGGAGGUCUGAGCUGCAAACAUGGGCUUUGGAGCCAAAGGAGGAGUGGUACCAUUUUACCAUCCAUUGCACCAAUCCAUCAAUCCCAAAAGAAAGUUCCUGGAGGAACAGGGAUGAACAGGAGGAAAUGUCCUCUUCCUGGACAUUUAAUGUUCUGCGACACCAGCUACGAGGUCGAAAGCAAACAGUGAGYGGCAGUCACUUCCCAGUGGACACGUCUCCUGUCUGAGAAUUGAAAACACACUCGAGAGCGUCCCCCGGUCUCAAAUCCUUGUUUAAGUGCUCCUGGCAUCUCUGUCCUUUCAGCACUCGCUUCAGUUGGCAACGCAAUGUUUUUCUUUCUUUUUUUAGAAUAUCCCUCUCAGGAGGCUCCAAGCUCUAGGCUGGGACCUGAGAACAGUGUGUUUGGAGAGCCUGAUUAUGCACUGGGGAGAUGAAGGAUAACAUGGACCGAGAAGAGUCUGGCUGAAAGCUCAUGGACUGGGGCCAAAGCCCUUUGCGAUUUUCUGCUCCAGGCACUAAAAGUAUAUUCCCGGAGCUGCCGUGAAACUCUGCAGAGACCUGUGGGGAAGAGGCACCGUUUUGCCUUACAGGACAAGGAAGAUGAAGGGGGUAACGUGGUGGGCCUGCCUGCAGCAGAGCUUCAUAAGUCUCCCAGCUAUAUGCAAGUGGAAGGAGAAGCAAACUCCUGAGCCGGAGCACCGUCCCCUUGGGUUGGCUCUCCAAACACAGGCAGAAAAUUUCCACAGGGGUUGAGAAGUUUGGCAUUUUAAUUUCUCUGUUUCGCUUUGUUCUGAGUAAAAAUAAACACUGCAGAUGUUGAUUGCUCUGGAUCCCU